UUUAAUUAAUUAUUCAACUAUUUAUUUGCUCAAACAGAAAUUUUGCAUUUUGAUUGAUGCUUGAUCGGUAUAGUUUUAAUCAGUCUUUUCCCCAUUUUGAACUGAAUGCAAUCAUUGGGAUUGUGAAGUUUUUAUGGUAAUUUUAGUCAACUUCUUUGAAAAAAACAAAAGUGGAAUUAACUACAAAGAAAUUCAGUUUUGUUGGGGCGUGAAAUUGGAAUUGUAGAAGAUUUAUUUUAAUAUUUGAUUUGAUUUUAAUUUCAAGGUGAUGAAUUCCAUCCCUUGAUCUGCCUUUAAUUCAUUUAUUUGUAAUUUACAAAUACUUAUAUAUGAUACAAGCAAGGGCAAACCCACCUUUGAUACCAUUCUCUUGAUUUUGGAAGGAAAUGAAAUAUAAUAUAUCCAGGCAGGAUCGUUCAUCUUAUUUAGAAAUUGACUACCCACAUCAUAAUAUGCUUUUAGAAAAAAAAAAAAAAAAAAGAUUUUUAAAUUGGGUGAAUGAAAUUGAUUAGAUUUAGCUUCGGGUCGAUUCAAUUUUGGUUGCUGGUUCUGAAUUGAUUCGAAGUGCCUCCUUUUAAAGUGCAUAUUAUUUAUAAUAGUUCCUUUAGGUGGUAAAUUAUGGUGGAUGACAUGUUACAUCUAAACAUUGUCCGAUCUAUUUCAUUGCUUAUUGUUUUUAAAUAUAUCAUUGUAAAAACUAUCUUUCUUUCUUUGUAUUUUGAAUCAUUAAUGAUGAAGUAUUAUGUUCUCAUGUUUAUUUUCGCCUAAUUUUUUAUUUUAUUGUUUUUCAAUAGAGUAGACAAUUUUGAUUAUUAGUUAAAAUAUCUUGUAGGGGUUGUACAAAUAGUUUUAGAUAACAGAGUUUCUUUCAAUUGAAAUUGCAAUAAGGUAAGUUCGUAAAUUCAAGUACUCCAUCUUCAAGUUGUUUGACAGUAUAAAAUCUUUAAUGAUAUUAUAAACAGUUGUUCUAGGUAUGAAGCCUAGGCGUCAAAUUCGUGGGUUGGGAGAUGGUCGCCUUUGAGACAAAGGGGCAUCAUCUUCUAUUGUACUGAGUUUGGAUAAGGAGUUAGAAGCAGAACGUGCUGCUCGAAAGGCUCGAGUGAAGAUGGAGCAAAGGAUGCAGAAAAAGCUGAAGUUUGUUGAGCAACAAUUUAAUUUUACAUUGCAGUCUUGGCAUCAUUCUAUACACCAGCUAUGUGGUAAAGCUCCUGCUUCAGUGUACCAUCAUUUACACCAUUGUCAAUACAGAAUAAUGCUAAUAAGGAAGAUGAUGCAAUUGAAUACGAAGGGAAUAACUUUGUCAAAAAUCAGCUACAUAUCUAAUUUAUGAGGAUGAAGAGUUAUAUUUUAAGGUGCAUAAUAAUAGAUGCAGAGCAUAUUGGUCUUAAAUGUAGACGUAACCAUAUUUGGUGAAUGAUUUUUAUCUUUAUUUUGGUGAAAUAUUUUGGAUUUAAUUAAG
This 1459-nucleotide long non-coding RNA is filed under the name Olea europaea subsp. europaea. Lineage: Eukaryota; Viridiplantae; Streptophyta; Magnoliopsida; Lamiales; Oleaceae. The record is from RNAcentral.